RNAcentral lists this ribosomal RNA (497 nucleotides) under uncultured bacterium. RNAcentral describes it as "partial 16S ribosomal RNA". It matches the Rfam family "Bacterial small subunit ribosomal RNA", at positions 28 to 507 of the family's 1533-position model. The record is from RNAcentral.
GAUGAACGCUGGCGGCGUGCCUAAUACAUGCAAGUCGAGCGAACGGACGAGAAGCUUGCUUCUCUGAUGUUAGCGGCGGACGUGUGAGUAACACGUGGAUAACCUACCUAUAAGACUGGGAUAACUUCGGGAAACCGGAUCUAAUACCGGAUAAUAUUUUGAACCGCAUGGUUCAAAAGUGAAAGACGGUCUUGCUGUCACUUAUAGAUGGAUCCGCGCUGCAUUAGCUAGUUGGUAAGGUAACGGCUUACCAAGGCAACGAUGCAUAGCCGACCUGAGAGGGUGAUAGGCCACCCGGGAACUGAGACAGGGUCCCGACUCCUACGGGAGGCAGCAGUAGGGAAUCUUACGCAAUGGGCGAAAGCCUGACGGAGCAACGCCGAGUGAGUGAUGAAGGUCUUCGGAUCGUAAAACUCUGUUAUUAGGGAAAAACAUAUGUGUAAGUAACUGUGCACAUCUUGACGGUACCUAAUCAGAAAGCCACGGCUAACUACGUG